This 253-nucleotide ribosomal RNA is filed under the name uncultured bacterium. Its description in RNAcentral is "partial 16S ribosomal RNA". It matches the Rfam family "Bacterial small subunit ribosomal RNA", at positions 524 to 776 of the family's 1533-position model. The record is from RNAcentral.
UACGUAGGGGGCAAGCGUUGUCCGGAUUUAUUGGGCGUAAAGAGCGUGUAGGCGGCUUUACAGGUCCGUUGUGAAAACUCGAGGCUCAACCUCGAGACGCCGGUGGAAACCGUAAAGCUAGAGUCCGGAAGAGGAGAGUGGAAUUCCUGGUGUAGCGGUGAAAUGCGCAGAUAUCAGGAAGAACACCCGUGGCGAAGGCGGCUCCCUGGGACGGUACUGACGCUGAGACGCGAAAGCGUGGGGAGCGAACAGG